UUGAUCCUGGCUCAGAAUCAACGCUGGCGGCGUGCCUAACACAUGCAAGUCGAACGAGAAAGUGGAGCAAUCCAUGAGUAAAGUGGCGACCGGGUGAGUUACACGUGACUAACCUACCCUUGAGUGGGGGAUAACCUCGGGAAACCGGGUCUAAUACCGCAUAAUAUCUUCGGGAUGAGAAGCCGGAGAUCAAAGGAGCUAUUCGCUUUUGGAGGGGGUCGCGGCUGAUUAGCUAGUUGGUGGGGUAACUGCCCACCAAGGCUUUGAUCGGUAGCCGGCCUGAGAGGGCGCACGGCCACUCUGGAACUGAAACACGGUCCAGACUCCUACGGGAGGCAGCAGUGGGGAAUUUUGCGCAAUGGGGGAAACCCUGACGCAGCAACGCCGCGUGGAGGAUGAUGUCCCUUGGGACGUAAACUCCUUUCGACCGGGACGAUUAUGACGGUACCUGUGGAAGAAGCCCCGGCUAACUUCGUGCCAGCAGCCGCGGUAAUAAGGU
RNAcentral lists this ribosomal RNA (499 nucleotides) under uncultured Acidobacteriota bacterium. Its description in RNAcentral is "bacterial SSU rRNA". It matches the Rfam family "Bacterial small subunit ribosomal RNA", at positions 13 to 529 of the family's 1533-position model. The record is from RNAcentral. Lineage: Bacteria; Pseudomonadati; Acidobacteriota.